GUAAUGUCUGGGAAACUGCCUGAUGGAGGGGGAUAACUACUGGAAACGGUGGCUAAUACCGCAUAACGUCGCAAGACCAAAGAGGGGGACCUUCGGGCCUCUUGCCAUCAGAUGUGCCCAGAUGGGAUUAGCUUGUUGGUGAGGUAACGGCUCACCAAGGCGACGAUCCCUAGCUGGUCUGAGAGGAUGACCAGCCACACUGGAACUGAGACACGGUCCAGACUCCUACGGGAGGCAGCAGUGGGGAAUAUUGCACAAUGGGCGCAAGCCUGAUGCAGCCAUGCCGCGUGUAUGAAGAAGGCCUUCGGGUUGUAAAGUACUUUCAGCGGGGAGGAAGGUGUUGUGGUUAAUAACCGCAGCAAUUGACGUUACCCGCAGAAGAAGCACCGGCUAACUCCGUGCCAGCAGCCGCGGUAAUACGGAGGGUGCAAGCGUUAAUCGGAAUUACUGGGCGUAAAGCGCACGCAGGCGGUCUGUCAAGUCGGA
This 486-nucleotide ribosomal RNA is filed under the name Salmonella enterica subsp. enterica serovar Agona. RNAcentral's name for it is "bacterial SSU rRNA". It matches the Rfam family "Bacterial small subunit ribosomal RNA", at positions 110 to 592 of the family's 1533-position model. Lineage: Bacteria; Pseudomonadati; Pseudomonadota; Gammaproteobacteria; Enterobacterales; Enterobacteriaceae. The record is from RNAcentral.